AAGCAUGCAAGUCGAGCGGCAAGGCAGGAGCUUGCUUCUGCUCUAGAGUGGCGAACUGGUGAGUAACACGUGGGUAAUCUACCUUUAGGUUGGGGAUAGCUACUAGAAAUAGUAGAUAAUACCGAAUAAGCUUAUAUGUUAAAUCAUGUAAGGAAAAAAGCUAAGGCUUUGCCUGAAGAGGAGCCUGCGUCCCAUUAGCUAGUUGGUGUGGUAAUGGCAUACCAAGGCAACGAUGGGUAUCCGACCUGAGAGGGUGACCGGACACAUUGGGACUGAGACACAGCCCAGACUCCUACGGGAGGCAGCAGCUAAGAAUAUUCCGCAAUGGA
This 329-nucleotide ribosomal RNA is filed under the name uncultured Treponema sp. RNAcentral's name for it is "bacterial SSU rRNA". It matches the Rfam family "Bacterial small subunit ribosomal RNA", at positions 51 to 375 of the family's 1533-position model. Lineage: Bacteria; Pseudomonadati; Spirochaetota; Spirochaetia; Treponematales; Treponemataceae. The record is from RNAcentral.